RNAcentral lists this ribosomal RNA (2902 nucleotides) under Klebsiella pneumoniae. RNAcentral's name for it is "23S ribosomal RNA". It matches the Rfam family "Bacterial large subunit ribosomal RNA". Lineage: Bacteria; Pseudomonadati; Pseudomonadota; Gammaproteobacteria; Enterobacterales; Enterobacteriaceae. The record is from RNAcentral.
GGUUAAGCGACUAAGCGUACACGGUGGAUGCCCUGGCAGUCAGAGGCGAUGAAGGACGUGCUAAUCUGCGAAAAGCGUCGGUAAGGUGAUAUGAACCGUUAUAGCCGGCGAUGUCCGAAUGGGGAAACCCAGUGCAAUUCGUUGCACUAUCGUUAACUGAAUACAUAGGUUAACGAGGCGAACCGGGGGAACUGAAACAUCUAAGUACCCCGAGGAAAAGAAAUCAACCGAGAUUCCCCCAGUAGCGGCGAGCGAACGGGGAGCAGCCCAGAGUCUGAAUCAGCUUGUGUGUUAGUGGAACGGUCUGGAAAGUCCGACGGUACAGGGUGAUAGUCCCGUACACCAAAAUGCACAGGCUGUGAACUCGAAGAGUAGGGCGGGACACGUGGUAUCCUGUCUGAAUAUGGGGGGACCAUCCUCCAAGGCUAAAUACUCCUGACUGACCGAUAGUGAACCAGUACCGUGAGGGAAAGGCGAAAAGAACCCCGGCGAGGGGAGUGAAAAAGAACCUGAAACCGUGUACGUACAAGCAGUGGGAGCACCUUCGGGUGUGACUGCGUACCUUUUGUAUAAUGGGUCAGCGACUUAUAUUUUGUAGCAAGGUUAACCGUAUAGGGGAGCCGCAGGGAAACCGAGUCUUAACUGGGCGUUAAGUUGCAGGGUAUAGACCCGAAACCCGGUGAUCUAGCCAUGGGCAGGUUGAAGGUUGGGUAACACUAACUGGAGGACCGAACCGACUAAUGUUGAAAAAUUAGCGGAUGACUUGUGGCUGGGGGUGAAAGGCCAAUCAAACCGGGAGAUAGCUGGUUCUCCCCGAAAGCUAUUUAGGUAGCGCCUCGUGAACUCAUCUUCGGGGGUAGAGCACUGUUUCGGCUAGGGGGUCAUCCCGACUUACCAACCCGAUGCAAACUACGAAUACCGAAGAAUGUUAUCACGGGAGACACACGGCGGGUGCUAACGUCCGUCGUGAAGAGGGAAACAACCCAGACCGCCAGCUAAGGUCCCAAAGUCAUGGUUAAGUGGGAAACGAUGUGGGAAGGCACAGACAGCCAGGAUGUUGGCUUAGAAGCAGCCAUCAUUUAAAGAAAGCGUAAUAGCUCACUGGUCGAGUCGGCCUGCGCGGAAGAUGUAACGGGGCUAAACCAUGCACCGAAGCUGCGGCAGCGACACUAUGUGUUGUUGGGUAGGGGAGCGUUCUGUAAGCCUGCGAAGGUGUGCUGUGAGGGUUGCUGGAGGUAUCAGAAGUGCGAAUGCUGACAUAAGUAACGAUAAAGCGGGUGAAAAGCCCGCUCGCCGGAAGACCAAGGGUUCCUGUCCAACGUUAAUCGGGGCAGGGUGAGUCGACCCCUAAGGCGAGGCCGAAAGGCGUAGUCGAUGGGAAACAGGUUAAUAUUCCUGUACUUGGUGUUACUGCGAAGGGGGGACGGAGAAGGCUAUGUUAGCCGGGCGACGGUUGUCCCGGUUUAAGCAUGUAGGCUGGUUGUCCAGGCAAAUCCGGAUAAUCAAGGCUGAGGUGUGAUGACGAGGCACUACGGUGCUGAAGUAACAAAUGCCCUGCUUCCAGGAAAAGCCUCUAAGCAUCAGGUAACAUCAAAUCGUACCCCAAACCGACACAGGUGGUCAGGUAGAGAAUACCAAGGCGCUUGAGAGAACUCGGGUGAAGGAACUAGGCAAAAUGGUGCCGUAACUUCGGGAGAAGGCACGCUGGUGUGUAGGUGAAGUCCCUGCGGAUGGAGCUGAGACCAGUCGAAGAUACCAGCUGGCUGCAACUGUUUAUUAAAAACACAGCACUGUGCAAACACGAAAGUGGACGUAUACGGUGUGACGCCUGCCCGGUGCCGGAAGGUUAAUUGAUGGGGUUAUCCGUAAGGAGAAGCUCUUGAUCGAAGCCCCGGUAAACGGCGGCCGUAACUAUAACGGUCCUAAGGUAGCGAAAUUCCUUGUCGGGUAAGUUCCGACCUGCACGAAUGGCGUAAUGAUGGCCAGGCUGUCUCCACCCGAGACUCAGUGAAAUUGAACUCGCUGUGAAGAUGCAGUGUACCCGCGGCAAGACGGAAAGACCCCGUGAACCUUUACUAUAGCUUGACACUGAACAUUGAGCAUUGAUGUGUAGGAUAGGUGGGAGGCUUUGAAGCGUGGACGCCAGUCUGCGUGGAGCCAACCUUGAAAUACCACCCUUUAAUGUUUGAUGUUCUAACGUUGGCCCCUUACCGGGGUUGCGGACAGUGUCUGGUGGGUAGUUUGACUGGGGCGGUCUCCUCCCAAAGCGUAACGGAGGAGCACGAAGGUUAGCUAAUCCUGGUCGGACAUCAGGAGGUUAGUGCAAUGGCAUAAGCUAGCUUGACUGCGAGCGUGACGGCGCGAGCAGGUGCGAAAGCAGGUCAUAGUGAUCCGGUGGUUCUGAAUGGAAGGGCCAUCGCUCAACGGAUAAAAGGUACUCCGGGGAUAACAGGCUGAUACCGCCCAAGAGUUCAUAUCGACGGCGGUGUUUGGCACCUCGAUGUCGGCUCAUCACAUCCUGGGGCUGAAGUAGGUCCCAAGGGUAUGGCUGUUCGCCAUUUAAAGUGGUACGCGAGCUGGGUUUAGAACGUCGUGAGACAGUUCGGUCCCUAUCUGCCGUGGGCGCUGGAGAAUUGAGGGGGGCUGCUCCUAGUACGAGAGGACCGGAGUGGACGCAUCACUGGUGUUCGGGUUGUCAUGCCAAUGGCACUGCCCGGUAGCUAAAUGCGGAAGAGAUAAGUGCUGAAAGCAUCUAAGCACGAAACUUGCCCCGAGAUGAGUUCUCCCUGAGACUUUAAGUCUCCUGAAGGAACGUUGAAGACGACGACGUUGAUAGGCCGGGUGUGUAAGCGCAGCGAUGCGUUGAGCUAACCGGUACUAAUGAACCGUGAGGCUUAACCUU